CCUGAAGGAACGCUGAAGACGACGACGUUGAUAGGCCGGGUGUGUAAGCGCAGCGAUGCGUUGAGCUAACCGGUACUAAUGAACCGUGAGGCUUAACCUUACAACGCCGAAG
RNAcentral lists this ribosomal RNA (112 nucleotides) under Acinetobacter baumannii. RNAcentral's name for it is "partial 23S ribosomal RNA". The stretch from base 1 to 100 matches the Rfam family "Bacterial large subunit ribosomal RNA", at positions 2826 to 2925 of the family's 2925-position model. The record is from RNAcentral. Lineage: Bacteria; Pseudomonadati; Pseudomonadota; Gammaproteobacteria; Moraxellales; Moraxellaceae.